AGGCGGCGGGAGGAGCGAGGAGGACCUCGCAGCCCGCGCUGCUCCGGGACAGCCCCAAGGACCCACCGCCCGCGCCCGCCACCCGCCGGACCCCGCGCCGCAAGGCCCGCUGCACAGGUGGACACGUGUGGCGCGGCGUGAGGGAGACAGCAUGGCUGCAGGCGUGGCUGACCACCUGCCCUUCUUCUUUGGCAACAUCACCCGGGAGGAGGCCGAGGAUUACCUGGUCCAGGGCGGCAUGAGCGACGGGCUCUACCUGCUGCGCCAGAGCCGCAAUUACCUGGGCGGCUUCGCCCUGUCGGUGGCGCACGGGCGCAAAGCGCACCACUACACCAUCGAGCGGGAGCUGAACGGGACCUACGCCAUCGCGGGCGGCAGGGCGCACCCCAGCCCAGCUGAGCUCUGCCUCUACCACUCCCAGGAGUCCGACGGCCUGGUCUGCCUCCUCAAGAAGCCCUUCCACCGGCCGCCCGGGGUGCAGCCCAAGACGGGGCCCUUCGAGGACCUGAAGGAGAACCUCAUCCGGGAGUAUGUGAAGCAGACCUGGAACCUGCAGGGCCAGGCGCUGGAGCAGGCCAUCAUCAGCCAGAAGCCGCAGCUGGAGAAGCUCAUCGCCACCACCGCCCACGAGAAGAUGCCCUGGUUCCACGGGAAGAUCUCCCGGGACGAGUCCGAGCAGAUUGUCCUGAUCGGGUCCAAGACCAACGGGAAGUUUUUGAUCAGGGCCCGGGACAACAACGGGUCCUACGCCCUGUGCCUGCUGCAUGAGGGCAGAGUGCUGCACUACCGCAUCGACAAGGACAAGACGGGGAAGCUCUCCAUCCCCGACGGGAAGAAGUUUGACACGCUCUGGCAGCUGGUCGAACAUUAUUCUUAUAAACCAGAUGGUUUGCUACGAGUCCUUACAGUUCCAUGUCAAAAAAUCGGCGGGCAAACGGGAAAUGUGAAUUUUGGAGGCCGCCCGCAGCUCCCCGGCGCCAACCCUGCGACUUGGACAGCAGGAGGAAUAAUCUCAAGGAUCAAAUCAUACUCCUUCCCCAAGCCUGGCCACAGAAAGACCUCCUCGCAGGGGACCCGGCCAGAGAGCUCCGUGACCUUUAACCCCUAUGAGCCAGAGGGAGCGCCUUGGCCCUCAGAAAGAGAAGCUCAGAGAGAAGCGCUGCCCAUGGACACGGAGGUGUACGAGAGCCCCUACGCGGACCCCGAGGAGAUCCGGCCCAAGGAGGUCUACCUGGACCGGAAGCUGCUGACCCUGGAGGACAAGGAGCUGGGCUCCGGCAACUUCGGCACCGUGAAGAAGGGCUACUACCAGAUGAAAAAAGUUGUGAAAACGGUGGCUGUGAAAAUCCUGAAAAACGAGGCCAACGACCCGGCUCUGAAAGACGAGCUGUUAGCAGAAGCCAACGUCAUGCAGCAGCUCGACAACCCGUACAUCGUGCGCAUGAUCGGGAUCUGCGAGGCCGAGUCCUGGAUGCUGGUCAUGGAGAUGGCGGAGCUGGGCCCACUCAACAAAUACUUACAGCAGAACAGACACGUCAAGGACAAGAACAUCAUUGAGCUGGUUCACCAGGUGUCCAUGGGGAUGAAGUACUUGGAGGAGUGCAAUUUCGUGCACAGAGAUCUGGCAGCAAGAAAUGUCCUGCUGGUGACUCAGCAUUACGCCAAGAUCAGUGAUUUCGGACUUUCCAAAGCUCUCCGCGCCGAUGAGAACUACUACAAGGCGCAGACGCACGGGAAGUGGCCCGUGAAGUGGUACGCCCCCGAGUGCAUCAACUACUACAAGUUCUCCAGCAAGAGCGACGUCUGGAGCUUCGGGGUGCUGAUGUGGGAGGCGUUUUCCUACGGGCAGAAGCCGUACCGGGUUAGCCUCUGCUUCCUGUGUCCUGUCCUGCGGCCUAGUCUGUCUGAACAGAUGAGCACCUGUCACCAUAGUCGUGGCCUUCCUUCUGAGGCUUCGCUGUCUUUUGACAGUCAACAGGACCUCAGUUUAUUCUGAACGGCAGGAGAAAUAUCUCAUGCUAGCUGAACAGUACAUCUUUUUUUCAUUGCAUAUUAUGCAUGUAAAUAUGCAUAAAAUGUACCCAAAUCAGCAUUAAUUAAAACUGAAAUAGGAAGUAUGGCUAUUUCAGUAUCAAAUUGGCAGCUCAUUACAGUUUGUUAGAUUUUUUUAAACCAAGGUACACAUACCAAAAAGGGCGCAGUUGCUAGGAUGCAGCUUGAUGAACCUUCACAAAUGGAACAUGCUCGGGAAAGCAGCCCCAGAUGAAAACAGACGGAACCCAACUCCCAGCCCCUGCACGCACGCCUCCCGCCAAGGGCCACCUCACUGACUUCCAGAUCUUAGCUAGGGGAUGAAAGGAAGUGAAGUGUCCGCUAUGCUGGAGAAAGGAGAGAGGAUGGGGUGCCUCCGGGGUGCCCGAGAGAGAUGUAUGAGCUGAUGACCCUGUGCUGGACCUAUAA
Molecule: RNA transcript, 2460 nt
Organism: Myotis lucifugus (little brown bat)
Lineage: Eukaryota; Metazoa; Chordata; Mammalia; Chiroptera; Vespertilionidae
Gene: SYK
Gene name: spleen associated tyrosine kinase
Exons: 13
Source: RefSeq, a predicted model, not a curated record